CUUGACAUCCAGAGAACUUUCCAGAGAUGGAUUGGUGCCUUCGGGAACUCUGAGACAGGUGCUGCAUGGCUGUCGUCAGCUCGUGUUGUGAAAUGUUGGGUUAAGUCCCGCAACGAGCGCAACCCUUAUCCUUUGUUGCCAGCGGUUAGGCCGGGAACUCAAAGGAGACUGCCAGUGAUAAACUGGAGGAAGGUGGGGAUGACGUCAAGUCAUCAUGGCCCUUACGAGUAGGGCUACACACGUGCUACAAUGGCGCAUACAAAGAGAAGCGACCUCGCGAGAGCAAGCGGACCUCAUAAAGUGCGUCGUAGUCCGGAUUGGAGUCUGCAACUCGACUCCAUGAAGUCGGAAUCGCUAGUAAUCGUGGAUCAGAAUGCCACGGUGAAUACGUUCCCGGGCCUUGUACACACCGCCCGUCACACCAUGGGAGUGGGUUGCAAAAGAAGUAGGUAG
This 453-nucleotide ribosomal RNA is filed under the name Enterobacter cloacae. Its description in RNAcentral is "bacterial SSU rRNA". It matches the Rfam family "Bacterial small subunit ribosomal RNA", at positions 980 to 1433 of the family's 1533-position model. The record is from RNAcentral. Lineage: Bacteria; Pseudomonadati; Pseudomonadota; Gammaproteobacteria; Enterobacterales; Enterobacteriaceae.